RNAcentral lists this ribosomal RNA (274 nucleotides) under uncultured bacterium. RNAcentral describes it as "partial 16S ribosomal RNA". It matches the Rfam family "Bacterial small subunit ribosomal RNA", at positions 523 to 796 of the family's 1533-position model. The record is from RNAcentral.
AUACGGAGGGUGCGAGCGUUAAUCGGAAUUACUGGGCGUAAAGCGUACGUAGGCGGUUUGCUAAGUCAGAUGUGAAAGCCCCGGGCUUAACCUGGGAACUGCAUUUGAUACUGGCAGACUAGAGUAUGAUAGAGGGGGGUAGAAUUCCUGGUGUAGCGGUGAGAUGCGUAGAUAUCAGGAGGAAUACCAGUGGCGAAGGCGGCCCCCUGGAUCAAUACUGACGCUGAGGUACGAAAGCGUGGGGAGCGAACGGAAUUAGAAACCCCAGUAGUCC